Long non-coding RNA from Drosophila miranda, 467 nucleotides. RefSeq lists it as uncharacterized. The transcript is spliced from 3 exons. Lineage: Eukaryota; Metazoa; Arthropoda; Insecta; Diptera; Drosophilidae. The record is from RefSeq and is a predicted model, not a curated record.
CUGUUCAGCACGUUCUUCGACCAGACUGAAGACGCACGAUUCGCCGGGUGAUACGGGCCAGAGUAGCAAGAUACGGCGGGUGCACACAUGGCGGAAGAUAUCGACGAUCCUGAAGAAUUGUACGAUAUAGUGGAAAUGGAAAUAGAACGUACGAGCCAGAGCAGCUUGGUAAAGGUGAGGAAGAGAACGAUUGGUUUUGUGGCUGCAAGCCUGCCCCAGCGAGUUCAGCUGAGCAGCCAGUAGCUAUUUUCGAUAGUAGCGUCCAGCCAACUCCUCGCAAAAGAUCAGAAUGCACCAUGCUCGGGAGAUGCAGAAUUAAAGAAUGUUCAAAUUGUUAAAAUAUCACAAAAGAUUUUGCAAAGAACAGCCGUUGCGCUGCCAAUUCUGCAGUUUAUUUCCCAGUACACGAAGCAAUUUAGUGUACCAAUUUGUCAACGUCAUUACCCUGAAGUACUAGAAAUGGUCCG